AAAAGCAAGUGCUUGUGUCCACCAGGAAGAAGUCAUGUACUGAGAGAAUGCAGUGACAUACUCAUUUUUCUCCUCUGGCCUUUGUGGAGCAGUUGCGGAGAUUGAGGAACCACCCUCUGAAAGGAAAGGAAAAGAAAAAAAACUCAUCCCCCACCCCUUUUUUUCCCUUUUCACUGCAACAAAACUCUUCUGUCGGUGGGAUUCUCCAAGCAAGAAUACUGGAGUGGGUUGCCAUGCCCAUCUCCAGAGGAUCUUCCCAACCCAGGGAUCGAACCCGCAUCUCUUAUGUCUCCUGCAUUGGCAGGUGGGUUCUUUACCACUAGUGCCACCUGGGAAGCCUAUCUCCUAUACUUAGAAAAGUUAA
Molecule: long non-coding RNA, 364 nt
Filed under: Capra hircus (goat)
Lineage: Eukaryota; Metazoa; Chordata; Mammalia; Artiodactyla; Bovidae
Description: lncRNA (ENSCHIG00000005716.1)
Source: RNAcentral